CCCUUAGAUGUUCUGGGCCGCACGCGCGCUACACUGAUGCAUUCAACGAGUCUAAAACCUGGUCUGAUAGGGCUGGGUAAUCUUUUGAAAGUGCAUCGUGAUUGGGAUAGAUGAUUGCAAUUCUUCAUCUUCAACGAGGAAUGCCUAGUAAACGCAAGUCAUCAGCUUGCAUUGAUUACGUCCCUGCCCUUUGUACACACCGCCCGUCGCUCCUACCGAUUGAAUGAUCCGAUGAAUACCAUGGAUUGAGAGUACGAAUGGGUUCGCUCAUUUCUGCUGCUCGAGAAGUGGAGUAAAUCUUAUCAUUUAGAGGAAGGAGAAGUCGUANCA
Molecule: ribosomal RNA, 330 nt
Filed under: uncultured eukaryote
Lineage: Eukaryota
Description: partial 18S ribosomal RNA
Rfam family: Eukaryotic small subunit ribosomal RNA
Source: RNAcentral